This is a long non-coding RNA of Pygoscelis adeliae (Adelie penguin), 2324 nucleotides long. RefSeq lists it as uncharacterized. The transcript is spliced from 2 exons. The record is from RefSeq and is a predicted model, not a curated record. NCBI's taxonomy places the organism in Eukaryota, Metazoa, Chordata, Aves, Sphenisciformes, Spheniscidae.
UCAGGUCUUGAGUAUAAACUUACGUAAGUUCUAAAAAUGGGAAGAAUUUUUCUGGAUCAUAUUGGUGGCACUCGCCUGUUCUCCUGUGCAAACUGCGACACGAUUCUGACCAAUCGUUCUGAGCUCAUCUCCACUCGUUUUACAGGGGCCACGGGAAGAGCCUUUCUUUUUAACAAGGUGGUAAAUCUGCAAUACAGUGAAGUUCAGGAUCGGGUCAUGCUCACUGGCCGCCACAUGGUUCGAGACGUGAGCUGCAAGAACUGCAACAGCAAACUGGGUUGGAUCUAUGAAUUUGCCACUGAAGACAGCCAGCGCUACAAGGAAGGCCGUGUUAUCCUGGAAAGAGCGUUGGUCCGAGAGAGUGAAGGAUUUGAGGAGCAUGUUCCAUCCGACAAUUCCUGAAGAGACUUGAGUCUCUUCGCAGGUUCUCUUCAAUUGAAACUCAAAAAUAAUAAAAUCAACAAAAAAAUCUGCUUACAUACACUGUCACCUUAGCAUCAGAGUCGGAUUCAUGGACUACAGAGUGGGAAAGAUUGUGAGAGUAUUUCAGAUGGAACCUUCCUUUCUUUAUUCCUUUUAUAUUUUACUUUCCCUCCAGCAGCUGUUUGUAGAAAGAAUGUUGUGCAGAUGCUGUAACUUUUUCUCUCUUGCAUUUACAUCUGUUAGAUUUGAGAUUGUAUCUACAGAUACAAUGGACUAAAAGGAAAAUAUUUGGGGGAUUUGUCUUUUGUUAGAGAGAAAUUCAGUGAGUUUUUUUAGUUUGCACAAACUGAUGUCAGCAUAAAGUUAUUUUAAAACUACAGAUGUUUUUUAAAAAGUAUAUUCCAAUUUUUGGCUUAAGUUUUUAGUUAGUUUUUUUUUUUUACCCAGUCUUUUCACCUGAUUUGCUAGCUAAAGUAAAGAGAUCCGAAUUUGUGCCGAGUGCUAAAGGUUCAGUGUUGGUACAGCUUGGGCUGGCCCUUGUGCCAUAUUCUUGUUGAGGUUGAUUGGUAGCACAGAGCCCAUUAUUUCUUGUCGUUCUUGACCCAAAGAUGUCACCAUUCCUUGUUUAUUUGUGAAGUCCCAUUCACCAUGUAAACUGGUGUUGAUUGGAAACUAUUCUUGAAAUAGGGCAAAACUGCUUGGCUUUUUUUAACUUUAACUGAUGUAACUUAUAAGCAUAGUAAUAAUAUAAAAUAAUAGUUGUCUGUUUAGUCUUGCGUUGCUUACAGAUCAGAAGCUGUGUUUGUAAUGAUAGGGAUCCACUGAGAAACUACUGUUUCAGUAGUAAUUUUUUUUCGUUGCUCUACUAAUCUCAUUAAGUAGACAGGCAAUUGCAAAUCUUAAUUCUUCUUCAAGUAGCUUUCUUUAAACCCAGAACUUCCUACGUUAAACACAGCUGCUGUGUAAAAGGAGAAGAUUGCCAGCAUGUUUGUUCAUGCCUAGAGUUAUGCAAUCUGCAUCUCUUGAAAAAAUUAACUUAAACAGCUUGUUUUCAAAUGCUGCUUCUGGUGUUGAAACCUUUAUCUUUCAACUUUGUUGAACCUUUUCAUUGUGAUGGUACAUUUUUAUCUUUCUGGGCAGCAGUACAUGUCAGCCUAGUAGUAACUAGUGACUUGGAUUCCUGCUUUCUUCUUGUAGAGGACAGCUCUGUUUAAACCAGUGAUCUUGCUUGCCUUUUUAGCAAAAAUGCUCUUCAUUAACUUAACUCAAGGGUGCCCAAACACUUUCAUUGUGUCUUAAGCCAUAAGUUAAGAUCUCAAGGGCUGAAAUUUAUUUGAAUGUUAGAUAUGUAUGAUUCCUUAUCAAAGAUACAAGUUGGUUUGUUUUUUUUUCCUUAUUGGAUAAAUUGUAGUCAACGUGAAGUAAGUUACCUACAGACGUACAAGAGGGGAAAAAAACCCCACCCAACCAAACAGAUCUCGGCUCCAACCUUUCAGAAUAACGUUUCUUCACUAGCCACAGCUCCGUAUCUGAAACUAAAAUGUGGAGGGUGACUAUGCAGAGUAUUUUUCGUAAUUUUUUUGGUUGCCAAGUGGCAAUUUGGACACCCCUGACUUGAAUCUACUGCCUAUUUCAUGUAAAAGUAGCUUUAUUAUAGAAUUGUCACAUAGAAAGAAAACAGAGUAGAUCACAUACCAGAGCUGUGCUUGAAUCAAGCUGCUUAAACAAUAGUGUACUUGUGCCUCAAAUGAAUCAGUUUUUGCACUGAGUACAGUAGUACCCCAUUAUCUUGUACUUCUGUCCUUCACAGACCCUAAAAGCCCCAUUAGCAUGGUUCUCUUCAGUACUUUUCUUGUACUUCUGACAUUACAGUACAAUAAAGUAUGUUUUGUCCUGAAUUG